GCACUACUGAGGAGUCCCAUAAUAGGACGGAACGGCUGUUCAGUGU
Schistosoma mansoni is the source of this 46-nucleotide non-coding RNA. NCBI's taxonomy places the organism in Eukaryota, Metazoa, Platyhelminthes, Trematoda, Strigeidida, Schistosomatidae. The record is from Rfam.